Molecule: ribosomal RNA, 546 nt
Filed under: uncultured bacterium
Lineage: Bacteria
Description: bacterial SSU rRNA
Rfam family: Bacterial small subunit ribosomal RNA
Source: RNAcentral
AUAGAUACCCGGGUAGUCCACGCCGUAAACGAUGGGCACUAGGUGCUUGGGGGAGCGACCCCCCCGGGUGCCGGCGCUAACGCAUUAAGUGCCCCGCCUGGGGAGUACGGCCGCAAGGCUGAAACUCAAAGGAAUUGACGGGGGCCCGCACAAGCGGUGGAGCAUGUGGUUUAAUUCGACGCAACGCGAAGAACCUUACCUAGGCUUGACAUGCAGGGGAAAGCCCCGAGAGACCGGGGCCCCUCUUCGGAGUCCCUGCACAGGUGCUGCAUGGCUGUCGUCAGCUCGUGUCGUGAGAUGUUGGGUUAAGUCCCGCAACGAGCGCAACCCCCGUCCCUAGUUACCAGCGGGUCAUGCCGGGAACUCUAAGGAGACUGCCGGUGUUAAACCGGAGGAAGGUGGGGAUGACGUCAAGUCCUCAUGGCCUUUAUGAUUAGGGCUGCACACGUCCUACAAUGGUCGGUACAGAGGGAUGCAAAAUCGUGAGAUCGAGCAAACCCCGAAAAGCCGGCCUCAGUUCGGAUUGCAGGCUGCAACCCGCCUGCA